Molecule: long non-coding RNA, 294 nt
Organism: Electrophorus electricus (electric eel)
Lineage: Eukaryota; Metazoa; Chordata; Actinopteri; Gymnotiformes; Gymnotidae
Source: RefSeq, a predicted model, not a curated record
GAGUGAGGGAGGAUAUACUUAAUGCGCAUAAAAAUGCAUUUUUAUUUCAUGCAGUCAACAGGAACCACCAUUCCGUGGCUUCCUCCUCCAGGCUGAAUGGGAUACUUCUGCAAAGGUGGAAACAACAGACAGGACAAAGUUACAUUUGAAUGGACCAAGGAUUCUUCUGAACAACAACAGAUUGUGAAGCCCAGCCCAGAACUAGAGACAUCUCACAAGUCAUCAGUUAGGAAUUUCAAGUCACUGCUGGCUGUUUCCUCUGUUAGCAUAAAUAAAGGCAAAUGCAAAAAUGAA